RNAcentral lists this ribosomal RNA (468 nucleotides) under uncultured bacterium. RNAcentral's name for it is "partial 16S ribosomal RNA". It matches the Rfam family "Bacterial small subunit ribosomal RNA", at positions 28 to 507 of the family's 1533-position model. The record is from RNAcentral.
GACGAACGCUGGCGGCGUGCUUAACACAUGCAAGUCGAACGGAAAGGCCCUGCUUUUGUGGGGUGCUCGAGUUGCGAACGGGUGAGUAACACGUGAGUAACCUGCCCUUGACUUUGGGAUAACUUCAGGAAACUGGGGCUAAUACCGGAUAGGAGCUCCUGCUGCAUGGUGGGGGUUGGAAAGUUUCGGCGGUUGGGGAUGGACUCGCGGCUUAUCAGCUUGUUGGUGGGGUAGUGGCUUACCAAGGCUUUGACGGGUAGGCGGCCUGAGAGGGGGACCGGCCACAUUGGGACGGAGAUACGGCCCAGACUCCUACGGGAGGCAGCAGUGGGGAAUAUUGCACAAUGGGCGGAAGCCUGAUGCAGCAACGCCGCGUGCGGGAUGACGGCCUUCGGGUUGUAAACCGCUUUCGCCUGUGACGAAGCGUGAGUGACGGUAAUGGGUAAAGAAGCACCGGCUAACUACGUG